Molecule: ribosomal RNA, 478 nt
Filed under: uncultured bacterium
Lineage: Bacteria
Description: bacterial SSU rRNA
Rfam family: Bacterial small subunit ribosomal RNA
Source: RNAcentral
UUCGCAAUGCCCGAAAGGGUGACGAAGCGACGCCGCGUGGGUGAGGAAGGCCUUCGGGUUGUAAAGCCCUGUCAGGAGUUAAGAAAUGUAAGUGCGUUAAUACCGCAUUUAUUUGACGAAGGCUCCAAAGGAAGUCACGGCUAACUCUGUGCCAGCAGCCGCGGUAAUACAGAGGUGGCAAGCGUUGUUCGGAAUUAUUGGGCGUAAAGAGCACGUAGGUGGGUUUGUAAGUCAGAUGUGAAAGCCUCCUGUUCAACGGGAGAAUUGCAUCUGAAACUGCGAAUCUUGAGUGUAGGAGGGGAGAAUGGAACUUCUGGUGGAGCGGUGAAAUGCGUAGAUAUCAGAAGGAACGCCGGCGGCGAAAGCGAUUCUCUGGCCUAUUACUGACACUCAGUGUGCGAAAGCUAGGGGAGCAAACGGGAUUAGAUACCCCGGUAGUCCUAGCCGUAAACGAUGGGCACUAAGUAGAGGGGUUUUA